AGUAAAGACAACUGGAUCUGAAGCGUAAUGAUGGUCUUCAGAAGGUCUUGAUUCAGAGGUUUGAGAAGACUACCAAUCACCAGAGCCAGCUAACAGGUGGACCAAACAUCAAGCCAGAAUUCUGCAUGAGUCAGAAUUUAUGUCUUUUGAUAUUAUUGCCUAAUGCAACAAAUGGAAAAAAGCAUACUUUAUGACAACCUUAGCAGCAGAACACCAUGACUUUCUCCUGGGUAGACGAGAAAAAAAGUUUGGUAUCAACACCCAUCUAACAAUUAAGAAAGUUAUCUACAGCCACACAUCCACUGUAUACCAAGUUAUGAUGAUCAAUUAUGAGAAUGCAAAAUGAUUUAUAGAUCAGUAAACAAUCAACAAAAAGGUAAUGUCUUAAUUAAUAUAUUUCUGCUUUUGUUACUUAUUCAUGUAUUUGAAUUACAUCAUUCAAAAUCAAAUGUUAAUAAUUAUAGGGUUUCAACUUGUUGCAGCUUUACAAAAAAUGUAGAAUUUGUAGGAGCAUGGACAACUGAGUAACAAAGUCAUAUUAUGCAGAUGGGUGCUCAUGGUGGCCUCCAAAUAAAUACAUGGACAGGCUGCUAAAGAGGGUCAGGAUGAUGGAGAUGCAAGAGCCAAAGACAGCACGGACCAAACACCAGGCCAGAAUUCUGCAUGAGUCAGUUUCCAGCCUUUUUCACAAAGUUGCCGACAACUGGAAGAAUGUCCCAAAUUGCUGAAAAAAGAAAUUCAAUUGAGUAAUUUUCACUCUAGAGACCCUGGGGUGACCAACAAGGACGAAUGAAAACUCCAGUGAGUGUCUCUAAGGUAGAUCCUAAUGCAGAUGGAUGGAAUGUUGAUCCGCCUAACAUGCAAGAUUUUCUGCACCGAGAACUUUGGAUGACCAUCAAGACAAGCACUCGUUUUGAGUCCUGAGACCCUGGGGUGACCACCGUGAACAAAUACAGACUGCAAAAAGGCAGUCUUGACGGUUCUAGGAUGAAUGCAAAUAAAGACUGACCACCUGACUUCAGCGGUCCAGUCUCUUGUGGGAAGCAGGUGUUUGUUACCCCAAAUACGGAUGAAGAGUGACGAAGAGGAUGAUGACUUUUUUCUCAAACAUCAUCUGAAGAUCUUGACAGGCUGGAGACAAAAUUAACAGACUGAGGGUUUAUACAAAGAAUCUUACUCAGCCAAUAUUAAAGAUAAGAUAUUUUUACAAAA
Molecule: non-coding RNA, 1212 nt
Organism: Misgurnus anguillicaudatus (oriental weatherfish)
Lineage: Eukaryota; Metazoa; Chordata; Actinopteri; Cypriniformes; Cobitidae
Source: RefSeq, a predicted model, not a curated record